This 253-nucleotide ribosomal RNA is filed under the name uncultured bacterium. RNAcentral's name for it is "partial 16S ribosomal RNA". It matches the Rfam family "Bacterial small subunit ribosomal RNA", at positions 524 to 776 of the family's 1533-position model. The record is from RNAcentral.
GACAGAGGGUGCAAACGUUGUUCGGAAUUACUGGGCGUAAAGCGAGUGUAGGCGGUCUGCUAAGUCUGAUGUGAAAGCCCGAGGCUUACCCUCGGAAGUGCAUUGGAGACUGGCGGACUGGAGUCCCGGAGAGGAGGGUGGAAUUCCUGGUGUAGCGGUGAAAUGCGUAGAUAUCAGGAGGAACACCGGUGGCGAAGGCGGCCCUCUGGACGGUGACUGACGCUGAGACGCGAAAGCGUGGGGAGCAAACAGG